RNAcentral lists this ribosomal RNA (724 nucleotides) under uncultured bacterium. RNAcentral describes it as "bacterial SSU rRNA". It matches the Rfam family "Bacterial small subunit ribosomal RNA", at positions 62 to 746 of the family's 1533-position model. The record is from RNAcentral.
UCGAGCGAGUCUGCCUUGAAGAUCGGAGUGCUUGCACUCUGUGAAACAAGAUACAGGCUAGCGGCGGACGGGUGAGUAACACGUGGGUAACCUGCCCAAGAGAUCGGGAUAACACCUGGAAACAGAUGCUAAUACCGGAUAACAACAGAUGAUGCCUAUCAACUGUUUAAAAGAUGGUUCUGCUAUCACUCUUGGAUGGACCUGCGGUGCAUUAGCUAGUUGGUAGGGUAACGGCCUACCAAGGCGAUGAUGCAUAGCCGAGUUGAGAGACUGAUCGGCCACAUUGGGACUGAGACGCGGCCCAAACUCCUACGGGAGGCAGCAGUAGGGAAUCUUCCACAAUGGACGCAAGUCUGAUGGAGCAACGCCGCGUGAGUGAAGAAGGGUUUCGGCUCGUAAAGCUCUGUUGUUGGUGAAGAAGGACGGGGGUAGUAACUGACCUUUGUUUGACGGUAAUCAAUUAGAAAGUCACGGCUAACUACGUGCCAGCAGCCGCGGUAAUACGUAGGUGGCAAGCGUUGUCCGGAUUUAUUGGGCGUAAAGCGAGUGCAGGCGGUUCGAUAAGUCUGAUGUGAAAGCCUUCGGCUCAACCGGAGAAUUGCAUCAGAAACUGUCGAGCUUGAGUACAGAAGAGGAGAGUGGAACUCCAUGUGUAGCGGUGAAAUGCGUAGAUAUAUGGAAGAACACCGGUGGCGAAGGCGGCUCUCUGGUCUGUNACUGACGC